RNAcentral lists this ribosomal RNA (253 nucleotides) under uncultured bacterium. RNAcentral describes it as "partial 16S ribosomal RNA". It matches the Rfam family "Bacterial small subunit ribosomal RNA", at positions 524 to 776 of the family's 1533-position model. The record is from RNAcentral.
AACGUAGGUACCGAGCGUUAUCCGGAUUCACUGGGUGUAAAGCGCGUGCAGGUGGUAUGGUAAGUCGGGCAUGAAAACUCUUGGCUCAACUGAGAGACGCUGUCCGAUACUGCCGAACUUGAGGGUGUAAGAGGGAGGUGGAAUUCCGCAUGUAGUGGUGAAAUGCGUAGAUAUGCGGAGGAACACCAGUGGCGAAGGCGGCCUCCUGGUACACUCCUGACACUCAGACGCGAAAGCUAGGGGAGCGAACGGG